This 254-nucleotide ribosomal RNA is filed under the name uncultured bacterium. RNAcentral's name for it is "partial 16S ribosomal RNA". It matches the Rfam family "Bacterial small subunit ribosomal RNA", at positions 524 to 776 of the family's 1533-position model. The record is from RNAcentral.
GACGAACCGUGCGAACGUUAUUCGGAAUCACUGGGCUUAAAGCGCGUGUAGGCGGGCCGGCACGUCGGUCGCUGAAAUCCCCCGGCUCAACCGGGGAAGGGGCGCCGAUACGACCGGCCUGGAGGGACGUAGGGGGGGCUGGAACUUCCGGUGGAGCGGUGAAAUGCGUUGAGAUCGGAAGGAACGCCCGUGGCGAAAGCGAGCCCCUGGACGUCUACUGACGCUGAGACGCGAAAGCCAGGGGAGCGAACGGG